RNAcentral lists this ribosomal RNA (1506 nucleotides) under metagenome. RNAcentral describes it as "bacterial LSU rRNA". It matches the Rfam family "Bacterial large subunit ribosomal RNA", at positions 464 to 2049 of the family's 2925-position model. The record is from RNAcentral.
GCCUAAAUACUACCUGAUGACCGAUAGAGGAGCAGUACCGUGAGGGAAAGGUGAAAAGGACCCCGGGAGGGGAGUGAAAGAGAACCUGAAACCUUGUGCUUACAAGCAGUCAGAGCACGUUAAAGUGUGAUGGCGUACUUUUUGUAGAACGGUCCGGCGAGUUAUAGUAACGAGCAAGCUUAAGGUAUUCAGUACCGGAGGCGAAGCGAAAGCGAGUCUGAAUAGGGCGCAUGAAGUUCGUUGCCAUAGACCCGAAACCGGGUGACCUACGCAUGAGCAGGUUGAAGUGGGGGUGAAACCCCAUGGAGGACCGAACCAACCCCCGUUGCAAUGGUGGUGGAUGACUUGUGCGUAGCGGUGAAAUUCCAAUCGAACUCGGAGAUAGCUGGUUCUCCCCGAAAUAGCUUUAGGGCUAGCGUUAGUUUAGAUUACCGGAGGUAAAGCACUGAAUGGUUUAGGGGCUGAUAAAGUUACCGACGCCUAUCAAACUCUGAAUGCCGGAUAAUUGAUGACUAGCAGUCAGACAGUGUGAGAUAAGUUUCAUUGUCAAAAGGGAAACAGCCCAGACCUACAGCUAAGGUCCCAAAUGUAUGCUAAGUGGAAAACGAUGUGGAAUUGCGAAAACAACCAGGAUGUUGGCUUAGAAGCAGCCACACAUUAAAAGAGUGCGUAAUAGCUCACUGGUCGAGUGACUCUGCGCGGAAAAUGUAACGGGGCUAAGCAUACAACCGAAGCUUAGGAUUGUCUAAAGACAGUGGUAGGGGAGCGUUCUGUAUGGGGUGAAGUCGCAGCGAGAGCAGCGGUGGACUGUACAGAAGUGAGAAUGCCGGAAUGAGUAGCGAGAAUUAUGUGGGAAUCAUAAUGGCCGAAAAUCUAAGGUUUCUUGGGGAAGGUUCGUCCGCCCAAGGUAAGUCGGGAGCUAAGCUCGGCCGCGAGGCGUAGGCGAUGCACAUACGGUAGAAAUUCCGUAACCACCGAACUUUAAGCAUGAGGGACACUUUGAGAUAGCGGAACCCGGGCGUUGGUUGACCCGGGCGAAAGGGACCGAAAUAUAGUAGGGAAGUCCGCGAUGCUCGGAGGCGAGAAAAGCUCAUGUGUAUACUAAGGUGCCCGUACCGCAAACCGACACAGGUAGAUGAGGAGAGAAUCCUAAGGCCAACGGGAGAAGGGUUGUUAAGGAACUCGGCAAGAUGACCCCGUAACUUCGGAAGAAGGGGAGCCUCGAAAGAGGCCGCAGUGAAUAGGCCCAAGCAACUGUUUACCAAAAACACAGGUUUAUGCUAAAUCGAAAGAUGACGUAUAUGAGCUGACGCCUGCCCGGUGCCGGAAGGUUAAGAGGAGAUGUCAACCGCAAGGUGAAGCAUUGAAUUGAAGCCCCGGUAAACGGCGGCCGUAACUAUAACGGUCCUAAGGUAGCGAAAUUCCUUGUCAGGUAAGUUCUGACCCGCACGAAAGGCGUAAUGAUUUGGGCACUGUCUCAACAGCCCGCCCGGCGAAAUUGUAGUA